Molecule: long non-coding RNA, 2217 nt
Filed under: Medicago truncatula (barrel medic)
Lineage: Eukaryota; Viridiplantae; Streptophyta; Magnoliopsida; Fabales; Fabaceae
Description: long non-coding RNA (MTRU_LNC002559)
Source: RNAcentral
UAGAAUUUACCCACUAUAGUACAAUGAAAGAGAUAAUCUAAUGCUAAAAAAAAGUGGUCCAACUUGGACCUAUAGUUCAAAUGGUGCAAACUAUACAAAACCUUCCAUACAUAGAAACAAUAUCUAAAUAACCAUCUAAAUACAAUAUUUCACAAAAAAAAAAAAUGUAAAUACAAAAUUUUAAGCCCCUAUGCUAACAAUCAUAUUUGAUGCCAACUCGUUUGCCACAUACUUGCACAUAAAAGGCAUCUUGAUUAAACAAAUUAUAUGGAAAAAAGAGUUCAACUCUGUAUCUUGACAAAUCAAUCUUAUUUAGGUGCACAUUCACUCUUAAUCAAGAGAGGGAGAAAUUGAUAUUUGAAAUUAGGCUAAAAUAUGGUUUUAGUCCCUGCAAAUAUGGCUCGUUUUGGUUUUAGUCUCUGGUAAAAAAAAAAAAAUUGUUUUUGGUCCCUGGAGGGACUAUUUUCAAAAACAAAAAAUUUUGCAGGGACCUUUUUUAAAAACAAAAUAUUUUGCAGGGACCAAAAACUACAAAAUUGGUUCAGUUAUAAUGUGUCACGUAUGCAAAUCAUCACAAAAGUGGGAUCAGGGACUAUUUUCAAAAACAAAAAAUUUUGCAGGGACCAAAAACAAUUUUUUUUUUACCAGAGACUAAAACCAAAAUGAGGCAUAUUUGCAGGGACUAAAACCAUAUUUUAGCCUUCAAAUUAAUUCCAAUUUCAAAUUCAUGCUGCAGAAAAAAAAAUAGUGGCAGCCUUGAUUUCCACAAAAAUGGGUGUGUUUGGGAAGGUGUGGAAGGAAAAGAUGAAAGCUAAGGUUGAAAUGAGGAAAAAAGGAAAGAUUCCUUCUUCUCUUUAGCUUUUGUCUUGUGGAGAAAGAUUCCUGAAAAAGUAGCACAAAUAUGGGAUGUAUGAAGAAGAUGAUUUAUGAUUAAGUCAACUUCUCUUCGCCAUUUGUUCUGCACAAAGAAUGAUAAACAGAAAACUUCAUGGCAAAUUAAACCAUACAGUUGUUAUAGGGACUGUUUCUAAUCAUAUAAAUUAAGUCCAAAAUUGUGGAAGCUUUUAACAAAUAUCCACUAAUAACAAAAAAGUAAUUUUUGUAGCAAUGAUAAAUAGUUAAUGAAUGAAGUAGGACAUUAAUCAAUGUACAAAUCGGAAAAGAACAAAAUUCGAAUAAAAAAUAUCAAGAAUGAUGAAGGUAAAAUCUAACCAAGCAAGCAUAAUGAUUAUGUGACAAAAAUAAUGGUAUAAUGUCAAAUUUGUAACACAUACAUUAUUAAUCAAUAAAAAACAUAUAAACAUAUAAAGAACUUUUGACUUCAAUAGAGCAGAAAGCAUGUUAUAAAUUGAUCUCAAAAUUUUAUUUGACAAAUUAAAACAAAAAUUCUUCAACCUUAUAACUUUUGGGAAUGGCUCCACCUAUCAUAGGUAAAGUUUAAAAACUGAAAGUUUAACUAAAUAUGAACAGAUCAUACAAAAACUACUUAUAAUAUAAUAAAAAAAAUCUUCAACCUUAUAACUUUGUGUUUAUCUAAUUCUCUCUAUGCUUGUGAUUUGGUUCAUUUAUGAUCCCGUGCAUGCAUUUCCACAUUAAUAUGCAAAUAUUAGCAAACUAAAAAUGAAUUAAAUUAAAUAGGUUAAUUAGAGAAAGCAAUUCAUGCAAAAAGGAAAAAGAUAAACAUAAAAUGGCAGCAACAAAAUUUUGACUGUAAAUCGGGAAAAUUUUACAACUUAAAAGAAUUGAGUUUCUAAUGAAAAAUUAUAACGAAAAAAAAUGUAAAUUAUAAUGUGGGCAUAGAAAAUUACCACCAAAACACAGGCAUACAAAUGAAGCAAAAUUGUCCCUAAAAAAAAAACAGUAAGAUUAACACAAGACUAAAACAAAAAUAAAUCAAAUGAAUCUUUAAAAUAUUAUUAAGUUCAAAUUUCAGAUUUGAAGAAAACGGGGCUAGGUUACAAAUAAAAGGUAGGGUUUAUGGAUUUAAUGGAGAAAUAUGAGUAAGGAAAUGAGAGAUCACCUACCCUUAAAAAAUAUGGUGUGGUAGAACAAAAAAAAACUGAUGAAAAAAGAAGAACGAUGAAGAACUCAGCAUUGAAAGAAGAAGGAGAAGAAGAAAUGGUGAAAGAGGAGAAGAAAGUACAGGAUGAGAGAAGAGGGGUUUAGGUUAUGAGAGAAAAAGAAAUCUGCUGCUAGGUAUGAGUCUUUGAGGAAGUG